AAUAGAUACCCUGGUAGUCCACGCCGUAAACGGUGGGCGCUAGGUGUGGGUUUCCUUCCACGGGAUCCGUGCCGUAGCUAACGCAUUAAGCGCCCCGCCUGGGGAGUACGGCCGCAAGGCUAAAACUCAAAGGAAUUGACGGGGGGCCCGCACAAGCGGCGGAGCAUGUGGAUUAAUUCGAUGCAACGCGAAGAACCUUACCUGGGUUUGACAUAUACCGGAUCGCCUCAGAGAUGGGGUUUCCCUUGUGGUCGGUAUACAGGUGGUGCAUGGCUGUCGUCAGCUCGUGUCGUGAGAUGUUGGGUUAAGUCCCGCAACGAGCGCAACCCUUGUCCUGUGUUGCCAGCAAUUCGGUUGGGGACUCGCAGGAGACUGGCCGGGGUCAACUCGGAGGAAGGUGGGGACGACGUCAAGUCAUCAUGCCCCUUAUCGUCCAGGGCUUCACACAUGCUACAAUGGCCGGUACGAGAGGGCUGCGAUACCGUGAGGUGGAGCGAAUCCCUUAAAGCCGGUCUCAGUUCGGAGUCGGGGUCUGCACUCGA
This 542-nucleotide ribosomal RNA is filed under the name uncultured bacterium. Its description in RNAcentral is "bacterial SSU rRNA". It matches the Rfam family "Bacterial small subunit ribosomal RNA", at positions 777 to 1315 of the family's 1533-position model. The record is from RNAcentral.